Molecule: ribosomal RNA, 427 nt
Filed under: uncultured Desulfovibrio sp.
Lineage: Bacteria; Pseudomonadati; Thermodesulfobacteriota; Desulfovibrionia; Desulfovibrionales; Desulfovibrionaceae
Description: partial 16S ribosomal RNA
Rfam family: Bacterial small subunit ribosomal RNA
Source: RNAcentral
UGGGGAAUAUUGCGCAAUGGGCGAAAGCCUGACGCAGCGACGCCGCGUGAGGGAUGAAGGUCUUCGGAUCGUAAACCUCUGUCAGAAGGGAAGAACGGCACCCGUGCUAAUCAGCGGGUGAUUGACGGUACCUUCAAAGGAAGCACCGGCUAACUCCGUGCCAGCAGCCGCGGUAAUACGGAGGGUGCAAGCGUUAAUCGGAAUUACUGGGCGUAAAGCGCGCGUAGGCGGUUUUGUAAGUUGGGGGUGAAAUCCCACGGCUCACCCGUGGAACUGCCCUUGAUACUGCAAGACUAGAAUCCGGGAGAGGGUGGCGGAAUUCCAGGUGUAGGAGUGAAAUCCGUAGAUAUCUGGAGGAACAUCAGUGGCGAAGGCGGCCACCUGGACCGGUAUUGACGCUGAGGUGCGAAAGCGUGGGGAGCAAACA